RNAcentral lists this ribosomal RNA (207 nucleotides) under uncultured bacterium. RNAcentral's name for it is "partial 16S ribosomal RNA". It matches the Rfam family "Bacterial small subunit ribosomal RNA", at positions 568 to 774 of the family's 1533-position model. The record is from RNAcentral.
CGCGCAGGCGGAUUAGCAAGUCAGAGGUGAAAUCCUACAGCUUAACUGUAGAACUGCCUUUGAAACUGUUAAUCUUGAGUACGGAAGAGAGAAGCGGAAUUCCAGGUGUAGUGGUGAAAUACGUAGAUAUCUGGAAGAACACCAGUUGCGAAGGCGGCUUCUUGGUCCGGUACUGACGCUGAGGCGCGAAAGCGUGGGGAGCAAACA